Molecule: non-coding RNA, 204 nt
Organism: Vicia faba (fava bean)
Lineage: Eukaryota; Viridiplantae; Streptophyta; Magnoliopsida; Fabales; Fabaceae
Source: the annotation of a GenBank genome assembly
AUGUGCUGGAAUUCGUUGUGCAACACUCAACUCGUCCGACGAAGCAACAAGCCGCGAUCUCCUUUCCUCGUCACUCCAGGAUGCCUCUGCCGUAACCCACAUCAUAGAUCCGCCAUAAGUCGCCGAAAACCGAUGAAGGCCAGUCGUGAAGGAGCUCUUUCGAACUCUCGCCUCCAUGACCAUAGAUAUGACAUCACCCGCUGA